This 468-nucleotide ribosomal RNA is filed under the name uncultured bacterium. Its description in RNAcentral is "partial 16S ribosomal RNA". It matches the Rfam family "Bacterial small subunit ribosomal RNA", at positions 28 to 507 of the family's 1533-position model. The record is from RNAcentral.
GACGAACGCUGGCGGCGUGCUUAACACAUGCAAGUCGAACGGAAAUGCCCUGCUUUUGUGGGGUGCUCGAGUGGCGAACGGGUGAGUAACACGUGAGUAACCUGCCCUUGACUUUGGGAUAACUUCAGGAAACUGUGGCUAAUACCGGAUAGGAGCUCCUGCUGCAUUGUGGGGGUUGAAAAGUUUCGGCGGUUGGGGAUGGACUCGCGGCUUAUCAGCUUGUUGGUGGGGUAGUGGCUUACCAAGGCUUUGACGGGUAGCCGGCCUGAGAGGGUGACCGGCCACAUUGGGACUGAGAUACGGCCCAGACUCCUACGGGAGGCAGCAGUGGGGAAUAGUGCACAAUGGGCGGAAGCCUGAUGCAGCAACGCCGCGUGCGGGAUGACGGCCUUCGGGUUGUAAGCCGCUUUCGCCUGUGACGAAGCGUGAGUGACGGUAAUGGGUAAAGAAGCACCGGCUAACUACGUG